GCCCGGUUAGCUCAAUUGGUCAGAGCGUCGGACUUUUAUGAUCAUUCGUAAUCCGAAGGCUGCGAGUUCGACCCUCGCAUCGGGCG
This is a transfer RNA of Aspergillus niger, 86 nucleotides long. It matches the Rfam family "tRNA". Rfam says of the family: Transfer RNA (tRNA) molecules are approximately 80 nucleotides in length. Their secondary structure includes four short double-helical elements and three loops (D, anti-codon, and T loops). Further hydrogen bonds mediate the characteristic L-shaped molecular structure. tRNAs have two regions of fundamental functional importance: the anti-codon, which is responsible for specific mRNA codon recognition, and the 3' end, to which the tRNAs corresponding amino acid is attached (by aminoacyl-tRNA synthetases). tRNAs cope with the degeneracy of the genetic code in two manners: having more than one tRNA (with a specific anti-codon) for a particular amino acid; and 'wobble' base-pairing, i.e. permitting non-standard base-pairing at the 3rd anti-codon position. The record is from Rfam. NCBI's taxonomy places the organism in Eukaryota, Fungi, Ascomycota, Eurotiomycetes, Eurotiales, Aspergillaceae.